This 553-nucleotide ribosomal RNA is filed under the name Bifidobacterium longum subsp. suillum. RNAcentral's name for it is "bacterial SSU rRNA". It matches the Rfam family "Bacterial small subunit ribosomal RNA", at positions 144 to 711 of the family's 1533-position model. Lineage: Bacteria; Bacillati; Actinomycetota; Actinomycetes; Bifidobacteriales; Bifidobacteriaceae. The record is from RNAcentral.
UGUCUCCUGGAAACGGGUGGUAAUGCCGGAUGCUCCAGUUGAUCGCAUGGUCUUCUGGGAAAGCUUUCGCGGUAUGGGAUGGGGUCGCGUCCUAUCAGCUUGACGGCGGGGUAACGGCCCACCGUGGCUUCGACGGGUAGCCGGCCUGAGAGGGCGACCGGCCACAUUGGGACUGAGAUACGGCCCAGACUCCUACGGGAGGCAGCAGUGGGGAAUAUUGCACAAUGGGCGCAAGCCUGAUGCAGCGACGCCGCGUGAGGGAUGGAGGCCUUCGGGUUGUAAACCUCUUUUAUCGGGGAGCAAGCGAGAGUGAGUUUACCCGUUGAAUAAGCACCGGCUAACUACGUGCCAGCAGCCGCGGUAAUACGUAGGGUGCAAGCGUUAUCCGGAAUUAUUGGGCGUAAAGGGCUCGUAGGCGGUUCGUCGCGUCCGGUGUGAAAGUCCAUCGCUUAACGGUGGAUCCGCGCCGGGUACGGGCGGGCUUGAGUGCGGUAGGGGAGACUGGAAUUCCCGGUGUAACGGUGGAAUGUGUAGAUAUCGGAAAAAAACACCA